UGACGUAUAGUAAACUACCCCGGGUCGGGUUAAACCCGACCAUUCGAAAACGCCAUAAAUAACGACGAACAAUGUCAAAUUUGACAACUAAACAUAUGAAUAUUUAAAUUCCUUCCAUUUUUUUCCGUCUCAUUUUAUAAAGAAUGUAUAUCCAUUUAUAUGAUUAUCAUUAUCGUCGUUUCUUGUGUGUCGUAACUGUGAUAAUAGUCAAUAACUCCGGAAUAAUUUCUUAACGAUGCAUCGACAUAACCUCAUCGACAAUUGUCAAACUAGCAUAAAGGGAGCAAAAAUUUACGAAAAAAUUCGUACGUCUCGUAAAUAGAGUCGAUUGUUCGAAAAGUCUCAUUCUUCGAUGUUCAUAUGGAUGUGCAAACGGAUAUCAAUUCAUUGCGGCCACAAAUGGCAUUACGAAAUGUGAAUUCCGGCAACAUAUUCACUACAUCUACUUUAACAUCAUUCGCAGAAAUGUGGUAUCAAAUAUUUCUAUGGGCCCUAUUCUCUUCAAUAUUUGUACACACAAUUGCUGGCGCGAUUUGUUUUGCUACUCUGCGACAGCACAAAUACGGCAAAUUUUUUCCGCUGCUUAUCAUAAUAAUGGGUGUAUUGUUACCAUUGACAUCGGGUGUUAUUAGUUCAGCAGCAGUUGCCUUUGUGUACAGAGCAUCUGGUUAUCAAAUGCCUCCUUUAUAUGCAUUAUUUUGGGGUAUCGGACAGACUGUGGUACCAGUGUGUGUCGGAUUUACGAGAAUCUUAGCGACUUUGUAACCCAAUGUUACAAAAACUGCAUUUGUGAUAUUUAUCUGUAUAUACAAGAAUGACGAUCAAGUGUCUUCUAAAUUAUAUAUACACAAAAUUAUGUACAUAUAUAGAUUGAUCCAGAUUGUGGAGAGUAAUGAUGUCUCAUACUUUUGUAAAGUCGAACUGAGCUGCGCUUUCUGGAAAUCGGCGGCCAGCCUCUUGACUUCUUCCCAAUCUACGCUGGACAUCUUUCUUUUUAUAUAAACAUUUAACUUGUCACUUUAAAGCCGAAGAAACGUACAACUGAUACACUCUAGCAAUUGCAGUUAUCAAAUAUAAC
Camponotus floridanus (Florida carpenter ant) is the source of this 1078-nucleotide RNA transcript. It is a transcript of the gene named transmembrane protein 170A, with no coding region annotated. The transcript is spliced from 4 exons. The record is from RefSeq and is a predicted model, not a curated record. Lineage: Eukaryota; Metazoa; Arthropoda; Insecta; Hymenoptera; Formicidae.